This is a transfer RNA of Camelus ferus (Wild Bactrian camel), 73 nucleotides long. It matches the Rfam family "tRNA". Rfam says of the family: Transfer RNA (tRNA) molecules are approximately 80 nucleotides in length. Their secondary structure includes four short double-helical elements and three loops (D, anti-codon, and T loops). NCBI's taxonomy places the organism in Eukaryota, Metazoa, Chordata, Mammalia, Artiodactyla, Camelidae. The record is from Rfam.
GAGGGUGUAGCUUAAAUGGUAGAGCACAUGCUUAGCAUGCACGAGGUCCUGGGUUCAAUCCCCAGUACCUCCA